This is a long non-coding RNA of Falco peregrinus (peregrine falcon), 4030 nucleotides long. RefSeq lists it as uncharacterized. NCBI's taxonomy places the organism in Eukaryota, Metazoa, Chordata, Aves, Falconiformes, Falconidae. The transcript is spliced from 4 exons. The record is from RefSeq and is a predicted model, not a curated record.
AACUUUUGAUUUUGCAUAUGUCUCUUAAUAAAAGUAUAAUAAAACUUGAGGCUUACAUCUUCAGAGAGCAACAUAAUCUAGAGUGUACAAGGGCUGAGUUCUGCCUUCAGAUGAAAAAUCAUAUUUCCCAUUGAAAUAAAUAAAACCCAAGCAUGUAUAUAGAGAGAAUAAAAUUUGGAUGUCGGACCGUUUCUUGCAAAAUCCUGUGAGGAAGGCAAGGGACAAAAGAUGUGAGCCUGACUAUCAACUUCCACUAUAUAUUUAUCUCUCAUGUGUUGUUUCUACUGGACAUCAGGACACUGAACUAACAGAGGAAAACCCUUAUCUCUCAAGGCUUGUGGCAACAUUGGGAUACACCAUGAAAUUGUUAAGAGAAUCAGAGAGUCUCUUCUUUGUUGGGAGAAGAUUAAUUCAAACUAGAAACUUAUCUUUUACUGAUUCAGGUGGAACACACUGUUGGAGAGAAUCGUGGUCCAAGGGAGCCUUCAUGCACCCUUCAGUGUGUCAGCAGUCUUGGCCACUACACAUCUUUUGAUGUAAGGAUCCUUAAAAGCUCCGAAGGAAAACUGGGGAUGUCCGAGUCAUAGGGGAAACAUGCCUCUAAGAACAUCCUCUAAAGCUUCCUACACUCAAUCACACAAGAGUAAGAGAAAGGUAAAGAUUCAUCUCAGUCUGGGCUGCAGCAUCUGGGCUUUUCUUUCCUGCAUCCCUUGUCUGGAAGAAGUGCUGCAAAUCAUUUGGUCCUUGAAAAACACAGCAUCUUGCAUAAAGAGCAACCCUUGCAGACAUUUCAGGCUCAUGUUGUUGUUUAGGACAUUCAGCACUAAGUUAAUGAGUGAUAGCUGUCCUGCUUGGUAGUCCAGAACUGUAGAGGACAUAUCCAGAAGGACUACAGACUACCGUAAAUUUUACCUGCAUCAGUUCUUUGAACUUGCCUUUUUAAAUAUAAACUGAUGUCAUGGUUUAACCCCAGCUGGCAACUACAUAUCAUGGCGCUGCUUGCUCACCUCUCCUCUGCGCUGCCCCCCCCGCCCCCCCCCCCCCCCCCCCCAGCAGGAUGGGGAGGAGAAUUGGGAAAAAGGUAAAACUCAUGAGUUGAGAUAAGAACAAUUUUAUAACUGAAAUAAAAUAAAACAUAAAAGAAAUAAUAACAACAAUUGUAAUGUAAAGGAGAGAGAGAGAGGAAUAAAACCCAAAGGGAAAAUCCCCCAAAACACCCAACAAAAUGAUGCACAACACAAUUGCUGGCCAGUCGCUGACUGAUGCCCAGCCAGUCCCCAAGCAGCCAUCGGCACAGGCUGUGGCCAACUCCCCCAGUUUAUAUACUCAGCAUGAUGUUCUAUGGUAUGGAAUAUCCCUUUGGCUAGUUUGGGUCACCUGUCCUGGCUCUGCUCCCUCCCGGCUUCGUGUGCCCCUCCUCACUGGCAGAGCAUGGGAAACUUGAAAAGUCCUUGGUUUAGAGUAAGCACUACUUAGCAACAACUAAAACAUCUCUGUGUUAUCAUUAUUCUCAUCCUAAAUCCAAAACACAGCACUGUACCAGAUACUAGGAAGAAAAUUACCUCUAACCCAGCCAAAACCAGGACAACUGUUACAACAUGAAUGGGUAUGUAAUACUUAAACAUAUUCUGAAACAGACCCCAGACUCUCCACAGUGCUCUCAGGAGAGAAUGAUAAAUCAGUUUGCUUAAUGCGUCAAUGGACAGAGCUUGGAAAUGGUGACAAAGACAAGGUAAGAAUGUGUAUGGGGCAUAGUAAACCUGCUCUUUGAGCGACUUGAACUAGUGACUUUUCCCUUGAAUUUUUAAUUGCUUAAAGGGGGGAUAAAAACAACCCACACCCCCAAAAGGCAAAACCACAAAACAAAACCCGAAACCAAAAUGCUGCAGAGGAAAUGAAACUACAAGAACAUUUUUCACACUAGUUAAUUUUGAGGGUCUGACAUAUAUACAGCAAGCCUAGGAAGUUCACGGUGCAUUAUAUCUUUCUCCAGAACACAGAUGCAUUGGGCUUUCCUGUGAAGUACACUACACGUGCUUCAAUGUAGUUUUAAGCAUUUCUUUAUUUUCACAUUGAUUUUUUACCACCUAUAAUCCACUCAUUCUUUUAAAUGCCAUGCAGCUGACUAGAUUCAGAGGUUUCACACUGGAGCAACCUCUCAUCUCAGAGUAUGUAUGACAUGGGGAAAGUUGAGUGGACGAAACUUAUUUUCCCAAGAACAAGGGAGAGUUGGAGGGAACAAGCUCGUAGUUUGCAAAUCAGAAAGUAUUCACUUAUCUGAACUGCAAAACAUAGAAGAAGGGAGGAGUUGGCUAGAAAUGGGAAGCAAGGAUCUAGAAAUAUAUUUUUGACACAGUUACACCCCCCUAAAAAAUUAGCAACAUAAUAAAAACAAUGGCUUACUAACCAGAAACAUUGGGUCUUCUGCCUAAAUUUUAGUUUCUUUUUAGGGUACUCGGCCACAGGUUUAGGAGUCUGGCUACAGGCAUGAAUAUUUUGUCCUUUUUUUUUUUCCUCUUGAGAAAAGUUGUCAGUUUGAAAGAAGAUGCUGUGUUGAGACCAGUGUCCUUUUAUGGAGAACAUGUUUGCAAUAAAAGGAUAAAAAUCUCGGAGAAACAGCAGGAAACAUCUUUAUAAUUUCAUUAGCUCAAUUUAAGGUUAAUAUUAAGCUUCUGAAAUGUGUUUGUUCAUUUGUUUGCUGGCGGUUUGAUUCUACUUUCUUCCUGUCAGUUUGGUUAGAAGACUGUUGCAUUUUUCUUUAUGGGUUUCCCUCCCUGUUUUCUGAGGGAAAAAAAAAAAAAAAAGAAGUAUUUUUCAAUAAAACUUUCACUUUCUUUACAGGGGAUUGAAUGUCAAAGGUGUUAGAAACCUGAGAAUGGGUGAAAAGAAAGAGGAGCAAUGUGCAUGAUCUUAGUUAACAAUAUUACUUAAGUGCCUUUCACUGUUUUCCUGUACUUUAGGAGGUCUACCUCACUCACACCAUUAUCGAUAAUGUUUAAUUGACUCUUCUUACAACUUACUUCUCCAAGAGACAGUGAAAUGCCCAAAAUUUUACUAAAUAGAGAAAAAUUCCCAGAAUCUCCCAAUUAGAGAAGGUUUCAGAGGGAGGUAUAAAUAGAGCAUAAUUGAGACUUAAGUGGUACAUACCUCACUGUGACCUUUUGCAAAAAGGACAUAUUCACCGUUAGCUAACUGAGCAAAUAUAUGUCUGGUAUUGGCCCUGUACUAAAUAAGAGAUAUUCCUUCCCUUUAAAUGUGAACUACUAUGCUCCAGCAUGUCAGUUCAGGUUUCUUGGAGGGGAAGAAUCUGGUGUCUGUAAGCUGCUUUCUACGUGCUUAAGUGGAUUUGAGAAGCAGGCAACCACAUACUUUGGAAAAAUAAAAAGUGCUUGAAGAAAAAAAUUGAUAUUCAGAUUUCCCAUUCAGAAUUUAAAUAGCAAUUUUCUUUGUUUGUGUGCUCAAUAUGUAGUAAAAAUAGGACCUAUUUUAGCCAAUUGCUACUCUGACUUUACAUCCAGUUUCUUUACUGAAGCUUAGAUUUAGCCCAGUAUCUGCCCUGUGAAAGAAAUACAUACAUGAGAUGAAGUGGUGGAAUUUGAUGUAAUAUAGAAAUGGUCUAACCAGGUAUAACUAGAAGUAACAGGAUGAAAGUGAACAAAGAAAAAUCCAUGCUGAUAACAAGGAAAAAUUUCCUAGCAGUGAGGUCUGUUAGCCUGCUGAACGGUCUCCCAAGGGAAUAAGUUGAACCCUCAUCGCUUUAGUUAUUUGUAAAACGAACAAAACAGUCAAGAUCCUUGUAGGGAGACACUCUUAAUUAACAAGAAGACAGAAAAAAUGACCUAAUGUCUCUUUUUUUCCAUCUCCACUGUUCAUGACUAUUAUUGUAGGCAAAACCAGGUUUGGCAAUAAAAUUAUGGAUUUCCAAUUUUCACAGCAAUUUUGCAGCGCUCUUAUUCCAUAAUAAUACCAGUACUUUCCCACUCUUCACUUCCCUCUAUAAACUUUUGCGCCUUAUUUGCCUUCAAAGAGG